GGGUCAGUAGGUUGGUCGUGCCACCGGUACGUACUGGUCUCACUGAUUCCUCCUUCCUGAAGAACCGUAAUGCCAUUAAUUUGGUGUUGCGGGGAAACAGGACUGUUGCUUUGAAAAAAUUAGAGUGUUUAAAGCAAGCUAACGCUUGAAUACAUUAGCAUGGAAUAAUGAAAUAGGACGAUCGAUCCUAUUUUGUUGGUUUCCAGGAUUGACGUA
This 216-nucleotide ribosomal RNA is filed under the name Glomeromycotina sp. RNAcentral describes it as "partial small subunit ribosomal RNA". The stretch from base 40 to 216 matches the Rfam family "Eukaryotic small subunit ribosomal RNA", at positions 686 to 864 of the family's 1831-position model. Lineage: Eukaryota; Fungi; Glomeromycota. The record is from RNAcentral.